Molecule: ribosomal RNA, 1263 nt
Filed under: Ruminococcus sp. A254.MGS-254
Lineage: Bacteria; Bacillati; Bacillota; Clostridia; Eubacteriales; Oscillospiraceae
Description: bacterial LSU rRNA
Rfam family: Bacterial large subunit ribosomal RNA
Source: RNAcentral
CCGACACAGGUGGAUGAGGAGAGAAUCCUAAGGCCGGCGGGAGAAGCAUUGUUAAGGAACUCGGCAAAAUGACCCCGUAACUUCGGGAGAAGGGGUGCUCCAGAGAUGGAGCCGCAGAGAACUGGCCCAAGCAACUGUUUAGCAAAAACACAGGUCUAUGCAAAACCGAAAGGUGAGGUAUAUGGGCUGACGCCUGCCCGGUGCUGGAAGGUUAAGAGGAGAUGUUAAUCGCAAGGUGAAGCAUUGAAUUUAAGCCCCAGUAAACGGCGGCCGUAACUAUAACGGUCCUAAGGUAGCGAAAUUCCUUGUCGGGUAAGUUCCGACCCGCACGAAAGGCGUAAUGAUUUGGGCACUGUCUCGACAAUGCACCCGGUGAAAUUGAAAUACCAGUGAAGAUGCUGGUUACCUGCGCCAGGACGGAAAGACCCCAUGGAGCUUUACUCUAGCUUGAUACUGGGGUUCGGUAUUGCAUGUACAGGAUAGGUGGGAGACUGAGAAGAUGUGUCGCCAGAUGCAUCAGAGUCGAUGUUGGGAUACCACCCCUGCAGUACUGGGCUUCUAACCUGCAGCCGUGACCCGGCUGGGGGACAAUGUCAGGUGGGGAGUUUGACUGGGGCGGUCGCCUCCGAAAGAGUAUCGGAGGCGCUCAAAGGUUCCCUCAGAAUGGUUGGAAACCAUUCGAAGAGCGCAAAGGCAGAAGGGAGCUUGACUGCGACACCGACGGGUGGAGCAGGUACGAAAGUAGGACUUAGUGAUCCGGUGGUAUGAAAGUGGGAUUGCCAUCGCUCAACGGAUAAAAGCUACCCUGGGGAUAACAGGCUUAUCACUCCCAAGAGUUCACAUCGACGGAGUGGUUUGGCACCUCGAUGUCGGCUCAUCGCAUCCUGGGGCUGUAGUAGGUCCCAAGGGUUGGGCUGUUCGCCCAUUAAAGCGGUACGCGAGCUGGGUUCAGAACGUCGUGAGACAGUUCGGUCCCUAUCCGGCGUGGGCGUAGGAUAUCUGAGAGGAGCUGUCCUUAGUACGAGAGGACCGGGAUGGACUGACCUCUGGUGCACCGGUUGCAUUGCCAAAUGCAUAGCCGGGUAGCCAAGUCGGGACGGGAUAAACGCUGAAGGCAUCUAAGCGUGAAGCCCCCCUCAAGAUGAGAUAUCCCAUAACAUAAGUUAGUAAGACCCCUUGAAGACGACGAGGUAGAUAGGCAGAAGGUGGAAGUGUGGUGACAUAUGGAGCUGAUCUGUACUAAUAGGUCGAGGGCUUAACCAA